UACGGAGGGUGCAAGCGUUAUCCGGAUUCACUGGGCGUAAAGGGCGCGUAGGUGGGUUGGUAAGUCAGGGGUGAAAUCCCCGAGCUUAACUUGGGAACUGCCAUUGAUACUAUCAGUCUUGAAUAUUGUGGAGGUUAGCGGAAUAUGUCAUGUAGCGGUGAAAUGCUUAGAUAUGACAUAGAACACCAAUUGCGAAGGCAGCUGGCUACGCAUAUAUUGACACUGAGGCACGAAAGCGUGGGGAUCAAACAGG
Molecule: ribosomal RNA, 253 nt
Filed under: uncultured bacterium
Lineage: Bacteria
Description: partial 16S ribosomal RNA
Rfam family: Bacterial small subunit ribosomal RNA
Source: RNAcentral